Pseudopipra pipra is the source of this 2466-nucleotide long non-coding RNA. RefSeq lists it as uncharacterized. The transcript has 3 exons. The record is from RefSeq and is a predicted model, not a curated record. Lineage: Eukaryota; Metazoa; Chordata; Aves; Passeriformes; Pipridae.
GGCUCUGGAGCUUGUCACAGAGAGAAAUCAAAGUGGCAACAGUAGAAGGCAAGCCCAAAUGCUGCCUGUUUUCUGAAAACAAAAGGGAUCCUCCUGGAGGAACUAUGGAAGGAAGUCAUGAGCCUCCUCCUGUUGGAAUAGGGGAAGUUUUGGAUGCAGUGGAAGGGUCAGUACAAAGCACUGCAUGAAUGCUGGGCUGAGUCAGUGGCACUUGGAGGCUAGAAGAGCUGUCAAGAGGCCCAACAGCGAGAAGAGUCAUCCUUCUAAAGGGAGAGCCUGCUGGAAACACGCAAGAGGCACAUGAAAAUGGAGGGAAAGAUAAGAAGUUUAAUGGAAGAUACUGAGUUGGAUGACUGAAGUCUUCAUCAAAUAAGAAAGCAGUCUCCUAUCUACUUUCUGAUGGUGUGUAAAUGAAUGAAUCAAAGCCCACACAUUCUCUUGCAAAUCAUGUCACAAGGAUUCUACGUGUCUAUGCCCCUGAGGUCAUGAGUGACUAUGUGUUGACCUCUGACAGACUCCUGCCACCUUUCCUUUAAUACAGCGAGCAUAUACCUCUCUAACCACGAGUGCUAUACAUCCCAUACUGCCUACCCUUCCUUUCUUUUAUUUUAGCGAUUUAUACUCCCCAAAAUUUCCUAUAAUCUUGUGUAUUUCUCUACAGCCUUUCCUGAACUGAGAAGUUUCUUGAUACUUAAGCAGAUGUGUUAAGGAAUAAGGAAAAGCAUCAGAAGAUAUUAUUACAGGGAGAGUCCCAGCAACUUUUCAGAAAAAGGAAUACUUUAUUUCAAAUAAAAUAAAAUUGUUUUCAACUGAAAGAGGCUCAUGUUCAUAUUAUCACUAAAACUUUUGCUGAAAGGGGAGAAAACAGUAACUGUAGGCAGUAGUUCAAAAGGAAGUUCUGUUACAGUACAGACCAAAAAAUUUAAGUUCUUACAGUGUAUAAAAUAUGUAAUUAUUGCUGAACUUCUGCAUAUGCCUUAAAUACUGAGCUGUGAGUGUGGACUGCUCUUUAAUGUGUUCAACAGCCUUAAUGCUGAAACCUAUACAAGGAAAUAAUUAUUACAAUAGCAUUCACAAAGCACAAAACCGAGAUAUUCUUUCACUGAAACUUCUCCAGCUCCAACAAAGACAGCAUUCAAAAAAAAAAAAAAAAAAAAGAAAAAAGCAUUCCAAAGACCACUGUAGAUGCUGGACAUAGACCGAUUCUUGAGUCAAAGUCAGACAUCCGCCAGCCAAAAGGAAUAACUCGAACAAAGGAGAGACUUUCAAGUUUCAGACUUUUGAGUUCGAGACCUCUAGUUUGAACUUAUCUGUUUUCAUAUAUUAGUAGGUUCAGUGGAGUUAGAAAUAUCCAGUAUGUGUAAUGAAAACAAUCUCUAUCAGUGGAUACAGCAUGAACAUGAUAAUAUAUGUUUUCCAACCCUAGAGCAAUCGUCAAGCAAUUACUAUUUGUCAAGGCAACACAGUUGAUAGUCAGGGUCAUCUAACCCUAGGUCAUCUCCUUCUACCUUAUUCUGAGGCAGGUCUCAGUAACUCAGCUGCCCAGCUUUGUUUGAUUUGCUCUGAAUGUAAUUUGCAGAUGCAGGUUUCUCUCCCUACACACAGCGAGGAAACCGAGGGAGGCUGCGGUAGCAGCAGCAAAGGGUUGCACUUUCUGCACCACGAUGGCUCAUAUAAGCAACAGCUGCUGGGGUUUUGUUCUAAAACGAAGGAGGGCCUGUGCGGGUCAGAGGGGACUCCUGGACAACUGAUUAUUAACCAGGACUUUCUAAAGCACUUGCAAGGCCCAUAUUGUGUUUGUUUAGGACCCAGAACUACAAGAGCAUGUUAUAAGCAGACUGGAUGAAUUGGUUUGUGUCCCUGAGUUCAAUUAUCAAUUCUAGCUACGUUUUAAAACAGAAAGGAUAAGAGCUUUGUCUUAGUAAGCCUAUUUUGGUCUGGUUUUACAUUUCCUUUUUUUUUUUUUUAAUUUUAAAGGCCCUUAUUCAACUAAAUAUAUCCCCUUUACAAAAUAUGAUUCUUUUUGCUAUCCAUAUUGUGAUUUCAUGCCUGUACAAUUUUUAUUUAACCAUCUAUAUAAUGAACUUGUGAUUCUUAAUCUUUACAUUUUAUAAUAUAAAAUUAAUGGCUUCUCUUUACCAUGACUUGGUCUUCCAAUUAUAAUUUAUAAAAGUGUGUGUGUAAAUGGAAAAUGGAAUUCAAUCCAAAUGUAAUAAAGAGCCCUUCAUUUUUUAUCAGUUAAAUUAAAUAACCAUUAAUGUACAUAACAUUUAAGAAAAAAAAAAGUUAUCAGAACAUGCUGCAUUGAAAACAGAUUCAUUCAGCAAGAACUGAUCACUGCUAGUUGGUGAACUUAAAUGAUUGUUUCUGGCUAGCACAACCUUCAAGACUUUGGAACUAGUACAUCUCAUCCUCUUACAGAUUUCAUUCAUGGACCUGAAGAGAACAAAUGACAUUACCUGCUUU